GUCAAACAUGAAAUAGUAUCUCAUAUAUGUGCAACUGAUGUUUAUGUGUGUUUGUGUUUCUGUAUCCACAGAAGGAGGAACAUGUGAGGUGAUCGCAGCACACCGAUGUUGCAACAAGAACCGUAUUGAGGAACGUUCCCAGACGGUCAAGUGUUCAUGUUUACCAGGAAAAGUGGCUGGCACGACACGAAACAAACCCUCCUGUGUAGACGCCUCCAUUGUGAUUGGGAAGUGGUGGUGUGAGAUGGAGCCAUGUCUGGAGGGAGAAGAGUGCAAGACGCUACCAGACAACUCCGGCUGGAUGUGUUCCUCUGGGAAUAAGAUCAAGACCACGAGGGUGAGGGCUCGGAACACUCUGAACAUCAUUACACACACACAUUCACUUAGCUACACAAAUAAGGGCACGGCACAGACAUUUAUUGAUUUUGUGGCAAAACUUUACUAUAUGCAUAAGCUGAAAUAA
This is a non-coding RNA of Danio rerio (zebrafish), 463 nucleotides long. The record is from Ensembl. NCBI's taxonomy places the organism in Eukaryota, Metazoa, Chordata, Actinopteri, Cypriniformes, Danionidae.